AUUGAACGCUGGCGGCAGGCCUAACACAUGCAAGUCGAGCGGAUGAAGGGAGCUUGCUCCUGGAUUCAGCGGCGGACGGGUGAGUAAUGCCUAGGAAUCUGCCUGGUAGUGGGGGAUAACGUCCGGAAACGGGCGCUAAUACCGCAUACGUCCUGAGGGAGAAAGUGGGGGAUCUUCGGACCUCACGCUAUCAGAUGAGCCUAGGUCGGAUUAGCUAGUUGGUGGGGUAAAGGCCUGCCAAGGCGACGAUCUGUAACUGGUCUGAGAGGAUGAUCAGUCACACUGGAACUGAGACACGGUCCAGACUCCUACGGGAGGCAGCAGUGGGGAAUAUUGGACAAUGGGCGAAAGCCUGAUCCAGCCAUGCCGCGUGUGUGAAGAAGGUCUUCGGAUUGUAAAGCACUUUAAGUUGGGAGGAAGGGCAGUAAGUUAAUACCUUGCUGUUUUGACGUUACCAACAGAAUAAGCACCGGCUAACUUCGUG
RNAcentral lists this ribosomal RNA (484 nucleotides) under uncultured bacterium. Its description in RNAcentral is "partial 16S ribosomal RNA". It matches the Rfam family "Bacterial small subunit ribosomal RNA", at positions 30 to 507 of the family's 1533-position model. The record is from RNAcentral.